UACAGAGGUCUCAAGCGUUGUUCGGAUUCAUUGGGCGUAAAGGGUGCGUAGGUGGCGAUGUAAGUCUGGUGUGAAAUCUCGGGGCUCAACCUCGAAAUUGCAUUGGAUACUGCGUUGCUUAGGAUUGUAGAGGAGAGUGGAAUUCACGGUGUAGCAGUGAAAUGCGUAGAUAUCGUGAGGAAGACCAGUUGCGAAGGCGACUCUCUGGGCAAUUCCUGACACUGAGGCACGAAGGCCAGGGGAGCAAACGGG
Molecule: ribosomal RNA, 252 nt
Filed under: uncultured bacterium
Lineage: Bacteria
Description: partial 16S ribosomal RNA
Rfam family: Bacterial small subunit ribosomal RNA
Source: RNAcentral